RNAcentral lists this ribosomal RNA (253 nucleotides) under uncultured bacterium. RNAcentral describes it as "partial 16S ribosomal RNA". It matches the Rfam family "Bacterial small subunit ribosomal RNA", at positions 524 to 776 of the family's 1533-position model. The record is from RNAcentral.
CACGUAGGGGACGAGCGUUGUCCGGAUUCAUUGGGCGUAAAGCGCGCGUAGGCGGCUCGGAAAGUCGGGCGUGAAAUGCCGGGGCUCAACCCCGGGACUGCGUCCGAUACUUCCGAGCUGGAGGUAGGUAGGGGAGAUCGGAAUUCCUGGUGUAGCGGUGAAAUGCGCAGAUAUCAGGAGGAACACCGAUGGCGAAGGCAGCCCCCUGGGCUAACACUGACGCUGAGGCACGAAAGCGUGGGGAGCGAACAGG